Molecule: ribosomal RNA, 828 nt
Filed under: Metapochonia sp. 1-KN-2011
Lineage: Eukaryota; Fungi; Ascomycota; Sordariomycetes; Hypocreales; Clavicipitaceae
Description: partial 28S ribosomal RNA
Rfam family: Eukaryotic large subunit ribosomal RNA
Source: RNAcentral
GCCCCAGUACGGCGAGUGAAGCGGCAACAGCUCAAAUUUGAAAUCUGGCCCCCAGGGUCCGAGUUGUAAUUUGCAGAGGAUGAUUUUGGCGAGGUGCCUUCCGAGUUCCCUGGAACGGGACGCCACAGAGGGUGAGAGCCCCGUCUGGUUGGACGCCGAGCCUAUGUAAAUCUCCUUCGACGAGUCGAGUAGUUUGGGAAUGCUGCUCUAAAUGGGAGGUAUAUGUCUUCUAAAGCUAAAUAUUGGCCAGAGACCGAUAGCGCACAAGUAGAGUGAUCGAAAGAUGAAAAGCACUUUGAAAAGAGGGUUAAAUAGUACGUGAAAUUGUUGAAAGGGAAGCGCUCAUGACCAGACUUGGGCCCGGUGAAUCAUCCAGCGUUCUCGCUGGUGCACUUUGCCGGGCUCAGGCCAGCAUCAGUUUGCCCCGGGGGAUAAAGGCUUUGGGAAUGUGGCUCCUCCGGGAGUGUUAUAGCCCAUUGCAUAAUAUCCUGGGGCGGACUGAGGUUCGCGCAUCUGCAAGGAUGCUGGCGUAAUGGUCAUCAGCGACCCGUCUUGAAACACGGACCAAGGAGUCGUCUUCGUAUGCGAGUGUUCGGGUGUAAAACCCCUACGCGUAAUGAAAGUGAACGCAGGUGAGAGCUUCGGCGCAUCAUCGACCGAUCCUGAUGUUCUCGGAUGGAUUUGAGUAAGAGCAUACGGGGCCGGACCCGAAAGAAGGUGAACUAUGCCUGUAUAGGGUGAAGCCAGAGGAAACUCUGGUGGAGGCUCGCAGCGGUUCUGACGUGCAAAUCGAUCGUCAAAUAUGGGCAUGGGGCGAAAGACUAAUCG